UACGAAGGGGGCUAGCGUUGCUCGGAAUCACUGGGCGUAAAGCGCACGUAGGCGGCUUUCUAAGUCAGGGGUGAAAUCCCGGGGCUCAACCUCGGAACUGCCUUUGAUACUGGGUGUCUUGAGUAUGGAAGAGGUAAGUGGAAUUGCGAGUGUAGAGGUGAAAUUCGUAGAUAUUCGCAGGAACACCAGUGGCGAAGGCGGCUUACUGGUCCAUUACUGACGCUGAGGUGCGAAAGCGUGGGGAGCAAACAGG
This 253-nucleotide ribosomal RNA is filed under the name uncultured bacterium. Its description in RNAcentral is "partial 16S ribosomal RNA". It matches the Rfam family "Bacterial small subunit ribosomal RNA", at positions 524 to 776 of the family's 1533-position model. The record is from RNAcentral.